RNAcentral lists this ribosomal RNA (1506 nucleotides) under uncultured archaeon. RNAcentral's name for it is "bacterial SSU rRNA". It matches the Rfam family "Archaeal small subunit ribosomal RNA". The record is from RNAcentral.
AUAUUGACUGCAUCGCGUGUCGCCCUUUUCCGGUUGAUCCCGCCGGACCCGACUGCUAUCAGAAUAGGACUAAGCCAUGCGAGUCAACGUAGUAGCAAUACUACGUGGCAUACGGCUCAGUAACACGUAGUCAACAUGCCCAGGGGACGUGGAUAACCUCGGGAAACUGAGGAUAAACCGCGAUAGGUCAUAAUGUCUGGAAUGAUUUAUGGCUGAAAUCUACAUGGCCUCUGGAUUGGGCUGCGGCCGAUCAGGCUGUUGGUGAGGUAAUGGCCCACCAAACCUAAAACCGGUACGGGCUCUGAGAGGAGGAGCCCGGAGAUGGGCACUGAGACAAGGGCCCAGGCCCUAUGGGGCGCAGCAGGCGCGAAACCUCUGCAAUAGGCGAAAGCUUGACAGGGUUAUUCUGAGUGGUUUCCGCUAAGGAAAUCUUUUGGCACCUCUAAAAAUGGUGCAGAAUAAGGGGUGGGCAAGCCUGGUGUCAGCCGCCGCGGUAAUACCAGCACCCCGAGUGGUCGGGACGAUUAUUGGGCCUAAAGCAUCCGUAGCCGGUUCUGCAAGUCUUCCGUUAAAUCCACCUGCUCAACAGUUGGGCUGCGGAGGAUACUAUAGAGCUAGGAGGCGGGAGAGGCAAGCGGUACUUAGUGGGUAGGGGUAAAAUCCGUUGAUCCACUGAAGACCACCAGUGGCGAAGGCGGCUUGCCAGAACGCGCUCGACGGUGAGGGAUGAAAGCUGGGGGAGCAAACCGGAUUAGAUACCCGGGUAGUCCCAGCUGUAAACGAUGCAGACUCGGUGAUGAAUAAGCUUCGUGCUUAUUCAGUGCCGCAGGGAAGCCGUUAAGUCUGCCGCCUGGGGAGUACGGUCGCAAGACUGAAACUUAAAGGAAUUGGCGGGGGAGCACCACAAGGGGUGAAGCCUGCGGUUCAAUUGGAGUCAACGCCCGGAAUCUUACCGGGGGCGACAGCAGAAUGAAGGUCAAGCUGAAGACUUUACCAGACAAGCUGAGAGGAGGUGCAUGGCCGUCGCCAGCUCGUGCCGUGAGGUGUCCUGUUAAGUCAGGUAACGAGCGAGAUCCCUGCCUCUAGUUGCUACCAUUGCUCUCAGGAGUAAUGGGGCUAAUUAGAGGGACUGCCGUCGCCGAGACGGAGGAAGGAGGGGGCUACGGCAGGUCAGUAUGCCCCGAAACCCUCGGGCCACACGCGGGCUGCAAUGGUAAGGACAAUAAGUUCCUAGUCCGAAAGGAGGAGGUAAUCUCCAAACCUUACCUCAGUUAUGAUUGAGGGCUGCAACUCGCCCUCAUGAAUAUGGAAUCCCUAGUAACCGCGUGUCACAAUCGCGCGGUGAAUACGUCCCUGCUCCUUGCACACACCGCCCGUCGCUUCAUCGAAGUUGGUUCUUGGCAAGGUGGUGUCUAAUUGGCACUAUCGAACCUGGGGUCAGCAACGAGGGAGAAGUCGUAACAAGGUAACCAAGGGCGACACGCGAUUGCAGCGAGCCUCAGACAU